Molecule: long non-coding RNA, 1032 nt
Filed under: Sus scrofa (pig)
Lineage: Eukaryota; Metazoa; Chordata; Mammalia; Artiodactyla; Suidae
Description: lncRNA (ENSSSCG00025045423.1, ENSSSCG00035043511.1)
Source: RNAcentral
GCACCAAUGUGUCCAGUAAGACUUCAUAAAGACGUUCAUUGUCAGCGAUGGCAGGAUGGGUGGAGAUUUAAGCCCCUCUUUUACAAAAGAAGGUCAGAGGUGGUCCUUGGCUGUCAGUUCUUCAUAGAGGAAUUCAGGAAUCUUUAUCCUUCAUAUGGUGGCUCCAUCAUCCCUGCGACCUCAGUGUCUUCUCUUGUAUCUGGUCAGCAGGCAGCGGAUGCGUGGGUAGAGGAGGGCACUGGAGGUGUCAGCAGCCUGGGGCUGGAAGUGGUGGACCUCACUUUUACUUAUACACCACGUGGCAUUGGCCAGAACCCAUCCUCAAGACCACACUCAUCACCAACAAGUCUGGCUGUGUGUCCAGGAGGAAAGAGAAUGCAUGUCUCUACCACACUCCUCAAUAUUACCCUCCCCUCUACAUUUCUUAAGAAUCCAGCACCACUGUUCGACAAAUACACUCAUUCAUUAUUUAGCAAGUGUUCUCAAUGUACUUCCCAUAUGAGAAUACACAGCAGACCUGGUCCCCAUUCUCAUGAUAUUUAUAGUAUCACAUGGGAUAUGGUCCACACAGGAGAAAAGAAUAUUAAAAAGAUACAAGAUUUACUAUUGUGGCUCAGCAGUUUAAGAACCUGACAUAGUGUCCAUGAGGAUGCGAGUUCAAUCCCUGGCCUCGCUCAGUGGAUUCAAGAUCCAGUGGGAACUUCUAUAUGGUGUAGGUAUGGACCUAAAAAGAAAAAAUUAAUUAGUUAAUUAAUUAAAAGAUACCGUUAUAAGAGGUUAAUUAUAAUUGAGCUGUUAUAAGAAGAAAGAUGGGACAGAGUACAUACUCUCUAUGUGAAUGAGAGGAAUAUUUCACUUAUUCAGCUCUUUUCAAUUGAAAUUUUAAGUGUGGGGCAUGGAGCUUGGUGGUACCAAACAUCCAAUCCCAGAAGCUCCAUCAACCCAGGCUCUGGGGAGUUUACAAGGAGUUGAGGAGAUAAAACACCUACACAAGGAACUCCAAUAAAAGGCCUUUUGGAAGUGUUAUAAGCA